GACUCGCCAUUUGGAAGCCCACGCUAGGGGGUUGCGAUGCCCGAGCCUCGCAUUUUCCACGGGGCAAACCUUCCCCACCUCGAGACAUCGGGCGCCGCUCCCCCGAGUGUGUCGCGAGGGACUGAGAUGAGCGGAGCAGCGCCGCCUCCGCCCUCCGCCUCCAGGAGCUGCCGCCACUCCUUCGCGUCCGAGCCCCUUCAUCCCCGUCGUCGCUUCCUCCGACUCCACCUCACCUCCCCAUCGCUCGCUCCACCUCCACUGCCCCUCCGCCAGAUCUUGUUGACUCCCCCAGCUGCCGGUCCUCCGUCUCCCCGUCAAGAUCCGGCACCACGCCGCCGUCCUCCGUCGCAGUGGUGACGAACUGGCGCCAAGCCGCCACCAACCGCCGCCCUACCCUGUCUCCUCUCCUCGGACCCUCCCGCACAUCGGCGGUGCCAGGAGCCGCCUCACCUCGCCGGAUCCGCCCCAGCUCGAGCGCGACAAGCCGGCGGCCCUCCCCCUCCCCUCCGCCGCAGGCCGCACCGCGCCACCAGGACCUCGCCGGAGCUGACCCACCUCGUGCGCGACGAGCCGGGUGGCCCUCCUCUCCACCGUCGCACCUCACCAUCAUCAGAGAUCCAGACGCCGCGAACUGACACCGUGUGGUCUGUGUGCUUAUGGCUGAUGAGAUAUGCCGCGAUAUCUACCAUUCAGAUCCUGAAUGGAGUAUCAUUUUGCUUAGGGAACGGUUCUGGAUGGACAUGCUUUGAUCUUGCAACUAUGUCAUGGGAAGAAAUAUGGUCAAGCCACAAAAAAGAAUGCUUUGAUCUUGCAGUUAUUG
Molecule: long non-coding RNA, 820 nt
Organism: Panicum virgatum (switchgrass)
Lineage: Eukaryota; Viridiplantae; Streptophyta; Magnoliopsida; Poales; Poaceae
Exons: 3
Source: RefSeq, a predicted model, not a curated record